This 465-nucleotide ribosomal RNA is filed under the name uncultured Klebsiella sp. RNAcentral's name for it is "bacterial SSU rRNA". It matches the Rfam family "Bacterial small subunit ribosomal RNA", at positions 338 to 795 of the family's 1533-position model. The record is from RNAcentral. Lineage: Bacteria; Pseudomonadati; Pseudomonadota; Gammaproteobacteria; Enterobacterales; Enterobacteriaceae.
CCUACGGGUGGCUGCAGUGGGGAAUAUUGCACAAUGGGCGCAAGCCUGAUGCAGCCAUGCCGCGUGUGUGAAGAAGGCCUUCGGGUUGUAAAGCACUUUCAGCGGGGAGGAAGGCGGUGAGGUUAAUAACCUCAUCGAUUGACGUUACCCGCAGAGGAAGCACCGGCUAACUCCGUGCCAGCAGCCGCGGUAAUACGGAGGGUGCAAGCGUUAAUCGGAAUUACUGGGCGUAAAGCGCACGCAGGCGGUCUGUCAAGUCGGAUGUGAAAUCCCCGGGCUCAACCUGGGAACUGCAUUCGAAACUGGCAGGCUAGAGUCUUGUAGAGGGGGGUAGAAUUCCAGGUGAAGCGGUGAAAUGCGUAGAGAUCUGGAGGAAUACCGGUGGCGAAGGCGGCCCCCUGGACAAAGACUGACGCUCAGGUGCGAAAGCGUGGGGAGCAAACAGGAUUAGAUACCCGAGUAGUC